AAAAAGCCUUCCUCACUCAAUCGGGUGGUGGUGUGAGAGCAGUUUCGAGCUUUUACUAAUUUCAUCACAACCUCCUUGAGUGAGUGAGGCUUUCA
RNAcentral lists this microRNA precursor (95 nucleotides) under Tetranychus urticae (two-spotted spider mite). RNAcentral describes it as "mir-67 microRNA precursor family". Lineage: Eukaryota; Metazoa; Arthropoda; Arachnida; Trombidiformes; Tetranychidae. The record is from Rfam by way of RNAcentral.